Molecule: non-coding RNA, 26 nt
Filed under: Mus musculus (house mouse)
Lineage: Eukaryota; Metazoa; Chordata; Mammalia; Rodentia; Muridae
Source: RNAcentral
UCACUAUGUAUAUCUCUGACUGGCCU